Molecule: long non-coding RNA, 388 nt
Filed under: Oryza sativa Indica Group (long-grained rice)
Lineage: Eukaryota; Viridiplantae; Streptophyta; Magnoliopsida; Poales; Poaceae
Description: lncRNA OsZS97_06G006960
Source: RNAcentral
AUGGGGGCCACACAGGAAAAUGGGGGCCAGACAUAUGAAGCUCUCCUCUUUACAGGAACAACAAAAAAAGCCAGCAGAGCUGGGUCCUCCACCAGGGACUGCCCAAGAACAUUGUCCUUGAGAAUUUCACCUAUAUCCAACACUGUGCCCAAUGACAUAUUGAACGGCACCCGAAUCCGAACAACCUCACCAACAAGGGUUGAAGGUAUGGCUGCGUCGACAUCCUGUGCACUCUGUACCGUGACUAUGCCAUACUGGGGAAUCGGUGGUGGUGGCGGCGGCGGUGGCGGUGGGCGGUGCUCUAAUCGGGUCUCCAAAAGAUGGCUCAUCGUCCCUCUGCCGUUGCUGCCGCGCUCGACGUCAUUGUCGCCAUCUUGACGGGGAGUUA